RNAcentral lists this ribosomal RNA (618 nucleotides) under uncultured bacterium. RNAcentral describes it as "bacterial SSU rRNA". It matches the Rfam family "Bacterial small subunit ribosomal RNA", at positions 338 to 951 of the family's 1533-position model. The record is from RNAcentral.
CCUACGGGAGGCAGCAGUGGGGAAUUUUGGACAAUGGGCGCAAGCCUGAUCCAGCAAUGCCGCGUGAGUGAAGAAGGCCUUCGGGUUGUAAAGCUCUUUUGUCAGGGAAGAAACGGUCUACUCUAAUACAGUGGGCUAAUGACGGUACCUGAAGAAUAAGCACCGGCUAACUACGUGCCAGCAGCCGCGGUAAUACGUAGGGUGCAAGCGUUAAUCGGAAUUACUGGGCGUAAAGCGUGCGCAGGCGGUUAUAUAAGUCAGAUGUGAAAUCCCCGGGCUCAACCUGGGAACUGCAUUUGAGACUGUAUGGCUAGAGUGUGUCAGAGGGGGGUAGAAUUCCACGUGUAGCAGUGAAAUGCGUAGAUAUGUGGAGGAAUACCGAUGGCGGAGGCAGCCCCCUGGGAUAACACUGACGCUCAUGCACGAAAGCGUGGGGAGCAAACAGGAUUAGAUACCCUGGUAGUCCACGCCCUAAACGAUGUCUACUAGUUGUCGGGACUUAAUUGUCUUGGUAACGCAGCUAACGCGUGAAGUAGACCGCCUGGGGAGUACGGUCGCAAGAUUAAAACUCAAAUGAAUUGACCGGNNGAGAGAGCGAGACGACGACGAGGGAGGAGG